This is a long non-coding RNA of Cucumis sativus (cucumber), 884 nucleotides long. RefSeq lists it as uncharacterized. The transcript is spliced from 3 exons. Lineage: Eukaryota; Viridiplantae; Streptophyta; Magnoliopsida; Cucurbitales; Cucurbitaceae. The record is from RefSeq and is a predicted model, not a curated record.
ACAAUUCCCUGCUACCUGAAGUGCUCUAGUGGCUUUAGUUACAAUUCUCUUCAUGGUUAUAUUUAUGUGGCAGGAAGCAGCCGUUGCGAGUCUAUAGUAUGGUAAAGAGGCGUUACAAUAAAGACUAGCUACCAUGAGAAGAUAUGGGGCCAUCAUGCUGGUGUUAUUAUUGUACAAGCAGUGGAAAGUGUCAUUACAGAUGCCAUAUGUCUGUCUCUUGGAUUUCUCCAAGAAAGUGUACUUUGAAGGUCCCAAUUGGGGAAUAAUUGGAAAAUUAUUGGAGUUAUCUAUGCCCCAGUAGGGAUUCUUCUAGCCUAUAAAAUCUUUUGCCUACACAUGAUUACCUCGGCUGACUAGUGCGUUCGUGAUUGAAAGGAUCAUUGUAACCAUAAGGAGAAACUUUGACGACAAUCGUCGAUCAUCUCUUGCCACCAUCUCCGAUGACUACUGCUAGUCAACUUUUAACCAUCACCUUUGAUGAUGUUGUCGACCAACCUCCAAAUACAACUUUUGGUAAUCAGUUUUGGCAAAUGAAAAUUUUCUUUACAGUAAUUUGACAUUAAUAAAAAUAUUUUAAAUAUCUAACAAAUCAAACAAGCUUGUUUAUAAAUUAUUAUUUUUUUUAAGAAAAAGGUUGCCAAAUAGAUAAGUUUUUAUUUUAGGGGUUUGUACAUAAAGUGUCACGUCCCACCCUGCAACCAUGAAAGACGCAAUAUGACCUUAAGUAUUUCUGAUGCGUUAAACACCAAAAGCUCAACUUUAGGUCUUUAAGUAAUUUUACUUAUACGCUUGAUGACUUCACACUUAAACUUAAAUUCACACUUUAGAUGAUAAUGCAAUUAGUACAUCAAAAUAAUAUAAACUAUUCCUUUAUUAACCUUAAA